This 288-nucleotide ribosomal RNA is filed under the name uncultured bacterium. RNAcentral describes it as "partial 16S ribosomal RNA". It matches the Rfam family "Bacterial small subunit ribosomal RNA", at positions 775 to 1067 of the family's 1533-position model. The record is from RNAcentral.
GGAUUAGAUACCCUGGUAGUCCACGCCGUAAACGAUGAGAACUAGGCGUUGGGAUUUAUCUCAGUGCCGUAGCUAACGCAUUAAGUUCUCCGCCUGGGGAGUACGACCGCAAGGUUGAAACUUAAAGGAAUUGACGGGGGCCCGCACAAGCGGUGGAGCAUGUGGUUUAAUUCGAUGCAACGCGAAAAACCUUACCUACCCUUGACAUACUCGGAAUCCUCUAGCAAUAGAGGAGUGCCUUCGGGAGCCGAGAUACAGGUGUUGCAUGGCUGUCGUCAGCUCGUGCCG